UGUGAGAUCUUCGCCUUGGAACUUGACUUUGGAGGAGCUGGGUCUUGAAAUCUCAGACUGCUUCUCCAUGGACUGCCAUGUGAUGAUAACAACGAUGACACAGAAAGGUUUCAGCCUUGCUCCCCUUCCCCUAGCCCCUCUCCCAAAGAAAGAACCAUCUGUUUUGAAAAUGACCCAUGGAAAGUGGACAACUGGAAUAACCCAAGCCUCAUUCGCUAGAGCUUUGCAGAGUGCCCUCAUUAGGAACAAUCUGCUCAAGCCCAUAUUUCUCCCUGGAAGAGCAUCACACUGAGGAAACAGGAAUCAAUGGGGAAAGCAUCAACAGGACAAUCAACCAGUCCCCAGGAAAGCAAGAGAGCUAUGAAAACAACAGCUUGUAAAGCAUGUCAGGCCUGAGUCAGAUGCUGCUUUUGGACUCUUGUUGUCUGGCAUCUGUGUCUGGGAAUAAGAACUGUCUCCUGUUGUGUUCAAGGCACCAACUUUCACAUUUAGGAUAUAUUAAGGUACACAAGGAGAAUGUUUAAGGUCCAUAACUAUGCAGAGGAGAUAAUUAAUUUAAAAAUAUGAUCUAUGAAAUUAUAGGAAGGAGAUAAAGGUAACAUCAUGUCUUCCCCCCCCCCAAUCAUGUUUUCCAAUGUAUUGCUGUCCUCCUGAAUGAGAACUGACCUUGGAAAGAAAUAUUCCCCCACUUCCCCAAGGUUAAAACAGAGCAAACCGUGAUGUGCUGCUAAGAAAUAAAAUAUAGGUUGACUUUCUCUUCUAUGUUAAU
This 769-nucleotide long non-coding RNA is filed under the name Monodelphis domestica (gray short-tailed opossum). RNAcentral's name for it is "lncRNA (ENSMODG00000039127.1)". The record is from RNAcentral. Lineage: Eukaryota; Metazoa; Chordata; Mammalia; Didelphimorphia; Didelphidae.